RNAcentral lists this unclassified non-coding RNA (498 nucleotides) under uncultured Glomus. Its description in RNAcentral is "SSU rRNA". It matches the Rfam family "Eukaryotic small subunit ribosomal RNA", at positions 591 to 1092 of the family's 1831-position model. Lineage: Eukaryota; Fungi; Glomeromycota; Glomeromycetes; Glomerales; Glomeraceae. The record is from RNAcentral.
CCAAUAGCGUAUAUUAAAGUUGUUGCGGUUAAAAAGCUCGUAGUUGAAUUUCGGGAUCAGUAGGUCGGUCGUGCCACUGGUAUGAACUGGUCUCACUGGUUCCUCCCUCUUGACGAACUGCAAUGCUAUUAAUUUAGUGUUGUAGGAAAUCAGGACUGUUACUUUGAAAAAAUUAGAGUGUUUAAAGCAGGCUUUGGCUUGAAUACAUUAGCAUGGAAUAAUGAAAUAGGACGUUCGAUCCUAUUUUGUUGGCUUCUAGGAUUGACGUAAUGAUUAAUAGGGACAGUUGGGGGCAUUAGUAUUCAAUUGUCAGAGGUGAAAUUCUUGGAUUUAUUGAAGACUAACUACUGCGAAAGCAUUUGCCAAGGAUGUUUUCAUUAAUCAAGAACGAAAGUUAGGGGAUCGAAGACGAUCAGAUACCGUCGUAGUCUUAACCAUAAACGAUGUCGACCAGCGAUCCGUCGUCGUUAAUUUUAAUGACUCGACGGGCAGCUUCCG